RNAcentral lists this ribosomal RNA (253 nucleotides) under uncultured bacterium. RNAcentral describes it as "partial 16S ribosomal RNA". It matches the Rfam family "Bacterial small subunit ribosomal RNA", at positions 524 to 776 of the family's 1533-position model. The record is from RNAcentral.
UACGUAGGGGGCAAGCGUUGUCCGGAUUUAUUGGGCGUAAAGAGCGUGUAGGCGGCCUGAAAGGUCAGCUGUGAAAACUCGAGGCUCAACCUCGAGACGUCGGUUGAAACCAUCUGGCUAGAGUCCGGAAGAGGAGAGUGGAAUUCCCGGUGUAGCGGUGAAAUGCGCAGAUAUCGGGAAGAACACCCGUGGCGAAGGCGGCUCUCUGGGACGGUACUGACACUGAGGAGCGAAAGCGUGGGUAGCAAACAGG